This 253-nucleotide ribosomal RNA is filed under the name uncultured microorganism. Its description in RNAcentral is "partial 16S ribosomal RNA". It matches the Rfam family "Bacterial small subunit ribosomal RNA", at positions 524 to 776 of the family's 1533-position model. The record is from RNAcentral.
UACGUAGGGUGCGAGCGUUAAUCGGAUUUACUGGGCGUAAAGCGUGCGCAGGCGGCCCGUUAAGACAGGUGUGAAAUCCCUGGGCUCAACCUAGGAAUUGCGCUUGUGACUGGCGGGCUCGAGUACGGUAGAGGGGGGUAGAAUUCCUGGUGUAGCAGUGAAAUGCGUAGAGAUCAGGAGGAACACCGAUGGCGAAGGCAGCCCCCUGGGCCUGUACUGACGCUCAUGCACGAAAGCGUGGGGAGCAAACAGG